CCUACGGGAGGCUGCAGUGGGGAAUAUUGGACAAUGGGGGCAACCCUGAUCCAGCCAUGCCGCGUGUGUGAAGAAGGCCCUCGGGUUGUAAAGCACUUUCAGUGAGGAAGAACGCCUGGUGGUUAAUACCCAUCAGGAAAGACAUCACUCACAGAAGAAGCACCGGCUAACUCCGUGCCAGCAGCCGCGGUAAUACGGAGGGUGCGAGCGUUAAUCGGAAUUACUGGGCGUAAAGCGCGCGUAGGUGGCUUGAUAAGCCGGUUGUGAAAGCCCCGGGCUCAACCUGGGAACGGCAUCCGGAACUGUCAAGCUAGAGUGCAGGAGAGGAAGGUAGAAUUUCCGGUGUAGCGGUGAAAUGCGUAGAGAUCGGGAGGAAUACCAGUGGCGAAGGCGGCCUUCUGGACUGACACUGACACUGAGGUGCGAAAGCGUGGGUAGCAAACAGGAUUAGAUACCCCAGUAGUC
This 465-nucleotide ribosomal RNA is filed under the name Vreelandella stevensii. RNAcentral's name for it is "partial 16S ribosomal RNA". It matches the Rfam family "Bacterial small subunit ribosomal RNA", at positions 338 to 795 of the family's 1533-position model. Lineage: Bacteria; Pseudomonadati; Pseudomonadota; Gammaproteobacteria; Oceanospirillales; Halomonadaceae. The record is from RNAcentral.